This 492-nucleotide ribosomal RNA is filed under the name uncultured bacterium. RNAcentral's name for it is "partial 16S ribosomal RNA". It matches the Rfam family "Bacterial small subunit ribosomal RNA", at positions 29 to 507 of the family's 1533-position model. The record is from RNAcentral.
AGUGAACGCUGGCGGUAGGCCUAACACAUGCAAGUCGAACGGCAGCACAGUAAGAGCUUGCUCUUACGGGUGGCGAGUGGCGGACGGGUGAGGAAUACAUCGGAAUCUACUUUUUCGUGGGGGAUAACGUAGGGAAACUUACGCUAAUACCGCAUACGACCUACGGGUGAAAGCAGGGGAUCUUCGGACCUUGCGCGAUUGAAUGAGCCGAUGUCGGAUUAGCUGGUUGGCGGGGUAAAGGCCCACCAAGGCGACGAUCCGUAGCUGGUCUGAGAGGAUGAUCAGCCACACUGGAACUGAGACACGGUCCAGACUCCUACGGGAGGCAGCAGUGGGGAAUAUUGGACAAUGGGCGCAAGCCUGAUCCAGCCAUACCGCGUGGGUGAAGAAGGCCUUCGGGUUGUAAAGCCCUUUUGUUGGGAAAGAAAAGCAGCAGGUUAAUACCCCGCUGUUCUGACGGUACCUAAAGAAUAAGCACCGGCUAACUUCGUG